Molecule: ribosomal RNA, 495 nt
Filed under: uncultured bacterium
Lineage: Bacteria
Description: partial 16S ribosomal RNA
Rfam family: Bacterial small subunit ribosomal RNA
Source: RNAcentral
UGACCGCUGGCGGCGUGCCUAAUACAUGCAAGUCGAGCGAACAGACGAGGAGCUUGCUCCUCUGACGUUAGCGGCGGACGGGUGAGUAACACGUGGAUAACCUACCUAUAAGACUGGGAUAACUUCGGGAAACCGGAGCUAAUACCGGAUAAUAUAUUGAACCGCAUGGUUCCAUAGUGAAAGACGGUUUUGCUGUCACUUAUAGAUGGAUCCGCGCCGCAUUAGCUAGUUGGUAAGGUAACGGCUUACCAAGGCAACGAUGCGUAGCCGACCUGAGAGGGUGAUCGGCCACACUGGAACUGAGACACGGUCCAGACUCCUACGGGAGGCAGCAGUAGGGAAUCUUCCGCAAUGGGCGAAAGCCUGACGGAGCAACGCCGCGUGAGUGAUGAAGGUCUUCGGAUCGUAAAACUCUGUUAUUAGGGAAGAACAAAUGUGUAAGUAACUAUGCACGUCUUGACGGUACCUAAUCAGAAAGCCACGGCUAACUACGUG